ACUUUUAAAGGAUAGAAGUAAUCCAUUGGUUUUAGAAACCAUCCACCCUUGGUGCAA
Molecule: transfer RNA, 57 nt
Filed under: Pseudemys gorzugi
Lineage: Eukaryota; Metazoa; Chordata; Testudines; Emydidae
Description: partial tRNA-Leu
Source: RNAcentral